Hippocampus zosterae (dwarf seahorse) is the source of this 569-nucleotide long non-coding RNA. RefSeq lists it as uncharacterized. The transcript has 4 exons. The record is from RefSeq and is a predicted model, not a curated record. NCBI's taxonomy places the organism in Eukaryota, Metazoa, Chordata, Actinopteri, Syngnathiformes, Syngnathidae.
AGAACACCUGUUGGAGCACAUUGUUAAAAAUCUGCAACAAUCAUACAUAUGUGACAGAGUGAUGCAUUAACGUGAUGAAACGACGCCGGAAGUGAAGCAACGGCACCCCAGUGUGGCAGCUCCUUCCCGCCGUAGCCGAGGAUCCUGUUGGGGAAGCCCUUUCUGCAGAUUCGGAUGCCUUCCAGCACGCCGUUACAGCGCAGCUGGUGCAUCACCAGAGGGUUUUCCAUGGCUCCGGGAGUCUUGGUUUCGUUGGGGAUGAUGCAGCGCACAAAGUGGGGGAAACGCAGACGAGGGGAAGGAAACGUCUGGCUCAGCACUCCUGGGGAAGGCGGUGAGCCACAAAGAGGAAAAUAUAAGCGCUGUUUUCAAGGUUAGUCAUUUCACUUUAUUCUAUCUUCCACGUUUGAGUCAGCAAACUGGAGAAAAAACAAACAUGAACGCAUCGGCUUGUUUCAGCACCUUGCAAUUGAUCAAGUUUGCAAGUGCCCUCUGCUGAUUGAAUUUUGCAGUCAAGUGAAUGACUUCUUUCAAUUAAGUGUCCAGCGAAUGCCUGUAUCAGUGAAAAG